AACCAUAGAAACCUGCGGAGUACCUGCGGAAGGAUCAUUACAGAGUUAUCCAACUCCCAAACCCAUGUGAACUUAUCUCUUUGUUGCCUCGGCGCAAGCUACCCGGGACCCCGCGCCCCGGGCGGCCCGCCGGCGGACAAACCAAAACUCUUGUUAUCUUAGUUGAUUCUCUGAGCGUCUUAUUUAAUAAGUCAAAACUUUUAACAACGGAUCU
Molecule: unclassified non-coding RNA, 214 nt
Filed under: soil metagenome
Description: partial contains 5.8S ribosomal RNA, internal transcribed spacer 2, and large subunit ribosomal RNA
Source: RNAcentral